RNAcentral lists this unclassified non-coding RNA (294 nucleotides) under Hevea brasiliensis (rubber tree). The record is from RNAcentral. Lineage: Eukaryota; Viridiplantae; Streptophyta; Magnoliopsida; Malpighiales; Euphorbiaceae.
UUUCCUCAACACAUCAUCAUAUCAAUCCAUCUUUUGAUCAAGUAGGAUCUGUCUGUAAUAGUUGUAGUUGUCCUGCAGUUGCGAAAUAAUUGACCUGUUGCUUUAACUGAAUGAGUCCAUCUUUCUAUAUACUACGUAGAGAUAGUAGCUGGACACUAGGUACGUAGCUCAUCCAAGGAAGCUUGCUAACAACUUCUCUGACAUGAUGAGUAGUAUUUUCAGAUUCACCUUUUGCGUUUGCUCUUCAAAGCUGUAGAAGAGGAAGGAUUACUGUGCCAGUUCCUUUUCCUUUGG